GACGAACGCUGGCGGCGUGCUUAACACAUGCAAGUCGAACGGUGAAGGGGUCUGCUUUUGUGGGCCCUGGAUGAGUGGCGAACGGGUGAGUAACACGUGAGUAACCUGCCCCCUUCUUCUGGAUAACCGCAUGAAAGUGUGGCUAAUACGGGAUAUUCUGGGUCUGUCGCAUGAUGGGUCUGGGAAAGAUUGCGCCUUUGGGUGUUUUUGGUGGGGGAUGGGCUCGCGGCCUAUCAGCUUGUUGGUGGGGUGAUGGCCUACCAAGGCGGUGACGGGUAGCCGGCCUGAGAGGGUGGACGGUCACACUGGGACUGAGACACGGCCCAGACUCCUACGGGAGGCAGCAGUGGGGAAUAUUGCACUAUGGGCGCAAGCCUGAUGCAGCGACGCCGCGUGAGGGAUGGAGGCCUUCGGGUUGUAAACCUCUUUCGCCAGUGAAGCAGGCCUGCUCCUUGUGGGUGGGUUGACGGUAGCUGGAUAAGAAGCGCCGGCUAACUACGUG
This 502-nucleotide ribosomal RNA is filed under the name uncultured bacterium. Its description in RNAcentral is "partial 16S ribosomal RNA". It matches the Rfam family "Bacterial small subunit ribosomal RNA", at positions 28 to 507 of the family's 1533-position model. The record is from RNAcentral.